GAUGAACGCUGGCGGCGUGCCUAAUACAUGCAAGUCGAGCGAGCGGACGAGAAGCUUGCUUCUCUGAUGUUAGCGGCGGACGGGUGAGUAACACGUGGAUAACCUACCUAUAAGACUGGGAUAACUUCGGGAAACCGUAGCUAAUACCGGAUAAUAUUUUGAACCGCAUGGUUCAAAAGUGAAAGACGGUCUUGCUGUCACUUAUAGAUGGAUCCGCGCUGCAUUAGCUAGUUGGUAAGGUAACGGCUUACCAAGGCAACGAUGCAUAGCCGACCUGAGAGGGUGAUCGGCCACCCUGGAACUGAGACACGGUCCAGACUCCUACGGGAGGCAGCAGUAGGGAAUCUUCCGCAAUGGGCGAAAGCCUGACGGAGCAACGCCGCGUGAGUGAUGAAGGUCUUCGGAUCGUAAAACUCUGUUAUUAGGGAAGAACAUAUGUGUAAGUAACUGUGCACAUCUUGACGGUACCUAAUCAGAAAGCCACGGCUAACUACGUG
RNAcentral lists this ribosomal RNA (497 nucleotides) under uncultured bacterium. Its description in RNAcentral is "partial 16S ribosomal RNA". It matches the Rfam family "Bacterial small subunit ribosomal RNA", at positions 28 to 507 of the family's 1533-position model. The record is from RNAcentral.